Molecule: ribosomal RNA, 484 nt
Filed under: uncultured bacterium
Lineage: Bacteria
Description: partial 16S ribosomal RNA
Rfam family: Bacterial small subunit ribosomal RNA
Source: RNAcentral
AUUGAACGCUGGCGGCAGGCCUAACACAUGCAAGUCGAGCGGAUGAAGGGAGCUUGCUCCUGGAUUCAGCGGCGGACGGGUGAGUAAUGCCUAGGAAUCUGCCUGGUAGUGGGGGAUAACGUCCGGAAACGGGCGCUAAUACCGCAUACGUCCUGAGGGAGAAAGUGGGGGAUCUUCGGACCUCACGCUAUCAGAUGAGCCUAGGUCGGAUUAGCUAGUUGGUGGGGUAAAGGCCUACCAAGGCGACGAUCCGUAACUGGUCUGAGAGGAUGAUCAGUCACACUGGAACUGAGACACGGUCCAGACGCCUACGGGAGGCAGCAGUGGGGAAUAUUGGACAAUGGGCGAAAGCCUGAUCCAGCCAUGCCGCGUGUGUGAAGAAGGUCUUCGGGUUGUAAAGCACUUUAAGGUGGGAGGAAGGGCAGUAAGUUAAUACCUUGCUGUUUUGACGUUACCAACAGAAUAAGCACCGGCUAACUUCGUG